GUGUUCCCCGCUCUCACCCUCCCCGAGCCGGGUGCUGGGCGGUCAUUGCUUUGCAUCUCCCUUGCCCACCCCCCACCAUGGCCUUUAGCGUCUCCCCCCUCCUGCUCCCACCCCGGGCUCUGAAGUCAGGAAACCCAAGAGGAAAUGACUGAGCCCGUCUGGGUUCCCGCCCGCCAGCGCUCUCCUGGCCACACCCUCUGCCUGGACGCAACUGCCGCCUCUACCCUCUCUCCAAAAAGCUGCGGGCUCUGGACCCCCAGCUCGGAGGUAAGUCUCUCUUCCGACCCCGCUCAGUCCAGGGCCUCGGCCCAGGUGGGUAAAGACUGGUCUUGGCGGAUCCUCUCCGCCCCCCAUUCAUACUGACUUCUCCCGCGGGCUCGUGGGCUGCCCUCCUUCUCUCCCUCCUGCCUCGCUCUCCCCAGCUCUCCUCCGUCCUUCUCGGACCAGUCCUUCCCAGAUCUGCCCAUAGAACAGCAUCCUGUUCUAUGGUCCCUGCAAUGAGGCCCAGACGCCACUUACGUUUUUCUCUGAGAUCAGGAGCAAAUUACUCAUUCUUCCUCUUUCCCCUCCUGGCCGACUCCUCCGCUGGGCCGGGUGACAGCCCCAGAGGAGAGGAAGAGGCCCAGGAUCUACUCCUGUACCCCAGCCCCUACUGGGUGCCCAGCAGGGUCCGUCCAAGAGGGAUGUCACUCUCUGGUCACCUGUGUUUCCUCACCAUCGUCGGCCUGAUUCUUCCCACUAGAGGUAAGGCCCAGCCUUUGUCUCCACUCUGCCCCAGAGCCCCCAGCCCUACCUCAAGUGCACUGCUGGGUGGGCAGCUGGUGAGUUUGGCGGCCCUGUCCUGUGUCCGCAACCCCCUGCUGAGCCGGCACCAGGAAGUGGGGCUCCCAAAGAGGGGGACAGGGAUACACCCUUUUUGGACACCUCAGAACUGGGUGGCCGCUUCCAGCGAGUCUGGCCAGAGCCUGUCCUGCUGAGCAGGCUCCAUUUCACUUCCAAGAAGAACUCACUGAGUUUGAUUUGGCGGGCAGAUUGGUGUCAGUUUUCUACUCAGCAGCCAGGAAACCUGGGCUCCCAGCAGAGGAGCUUCCUGGAUUCCCAGGUGAUGCAGUUAGGCAAAGGGGUGAGCUGGGGCCAGUGGAAGAGCUGGAGGUGUCUCCCCUGGCCUGGGAAGUGCUUCCUGAAGGCAGCAGCUGUGGUGGCAUUGGCAGGUGCUUUUCCACACGGCAGGUGCUGUGUGUGCGGGAGCUCACUUCAGCUUCAGCUCUAGUGUAUUACACAUACUGCCCUGCCUGUUUUACAAUGAGGGAACUGAAGCUCAGGGAAUUGAGGUUCAGCAAAGGAAAGCCUGUGCCAGAGGCUAGUGAGGGGAGGAGCUGGGAUCCAAUCAUCCUGCCUGCCCCUGGAACCCAGAGCAGACUCGCCGCUGAAGAGCUCUCUUGGAUAAAACGGUUUUCAUCUAUUCCUUCAGUCAUUCAACAGGUAUUCGUUGAGCAGCUCCUGUGUGCCAGAUCUUAUUCUAUGCACUAUGGAAACAGCAAUACGUAAAACAGGAACUCACGUUCCAUUUGGGAAAUACAGACGAUAAAUCACCCAUCAGUAAAUUAUACAGUAUGCCAGAAGGUGAUACAUGUUAUGCAGAAAAGUAGAGGAGAGCAAUGAGGAUUGUUUGAAGAGGAUGGUCAGGGAAGACUUCACUAGGAGGUGACAUUUGGGCAGACACGUGAAGAAGAUGGAGGAACGAACCAAGCAGGUAGCCGAGGGAUGAGUGCUGUCCGGUGGGUGUGAGGAACCAGGCAGUCCAGGUGGCUGGGUGGGGUGAACAAGGAGCAGGGUAGGAAGAGGAGAGGUCAGAGAGGUGACAGGGGAAGAG
Long non-coding RNA from Rhinolophus ferrumequinum (greater horseshoe bat), 1873 nucleotides. The record is from Ensembl. NCBI's taxonomy places the organism in Eukaryota, Metazoa, Chordata, Mammalia, Chiroptera, Rhinolophidae.